GUGAGGAAUAUUGGUCAAUGGGCGAGAGCCUGAACCAGCCAAGUCGCGUGAAGGAUGAAGGUUUUAUGAAUUGUAAACUUCUUUUGCAGGGGAAUAAAGUACGGUACGUGUACCGUUUUGUAUGUACUCUGCGAAUAAGGAUCGGCUAACUCCGUGCCAGCAGCCGCGGUAAUACGGAGGAUCCAAGCGUUAUCCGGAUUUAUUGGGUUUAAAGGGUGCGCAGGCGGGUUGAUAAGUCAGCGGUGAAAGUUUGCAGCUUAACUGUAAAAUUGCCGUUGAAACUGUCGAUCUUGAGUGCAAAUGAGGUAAGCGGAAUGUGUUGUGUAGCGGUGAAAUGCUUAGAUAUGGCACAGAACACCAAUUGCGAAGGCAGCUCACUAAGGCGAUACUGACGCUGAGGCACGAAAGCGUGGGGAUCGAACAGGAUUAGAUACCCCUGUAGUCC
This 445-nucleotide ribosomal RNA is filed under the name uncultured bacterium. RNAcentral describes it as "partial 16S ribosomal RNA". It matches the Rfam family "Bacterial small subunit ribosomal RNA", at positions 354 to 796 of the family's 1533-position model. The record is from RNAcentral.